This 513-nucleotide ribosomal RNA is filed under the name uncultured bacterium. Its description in RNAcentral is "partial 16S ribosomal RNA". It matches the Rfam family "Bacterial small subunit ribosomal RNA", at positions 28 to 523 of the family's 1533-position model. The record is from RNAcentral.
GACGAACGCUGGCGGCAUGCCUAAUACAUGCAAGUCGAGCGAACAGAUGGAGUGCUUGCACUUCUGACGUUAGCGGCGAACGGGUGAGUAACACGUAAGGAAUCUACCUAUAAGCGGGGGAUAACAUUCGGAAACGGGUGCUAAUACCGCAUAAUAUCUUCUUCCGCAUGGAAGAAGAUUGAAAGACGGCUCUGCUGUCACUUAUAGAUGACCUUGCGGUGCAUUAGUUAGUUGGUGGGGUAACGGCCUACCAAGACGAUGAUGCAUAGCCGACCUGGGAGGGUGAGAGGCAACAUUGGGACUGAGACACGGCCAAAACGCCUACGGGAGGCAGCAGUAGGGAAUCUUCCGCAAUGGGCGAAAGCCGGACGGAGCAAUGCCGCGUGAGUGAAGAAGGCCUUCGGGUCGUAAAACUCUGUUAUAAGAGAAGAACAAAUUGUAGAGUAACUGCUACAGUCUUGACGGUAUCUUAUCAGAAAGCCACGGCUAACUACGUGCCAGCCGCCGCCGUAA